RNAcentral lists this unclassified non-coding RNA (229 nucleotides) under plant metagenome. Its description in RNAcentral is "partial contains small subunit ribosomal RNA, internal transcribed spacer 1, and 5.8S ribosomal RNA". The record is from RNAcentral.
UCUCCGUAGGUGAACCUGCGGAGGGAUCAUUACAGAGUUCUCGCCUCGCGGGUAGAUCUCCCACCCACUGUUAUCUUUACUGUCGUUUCUUUGGCGGGCCGCCGGGUCCCCUGCCGCCGUCGUCUAAUAGGCGGCGCGCGCCCGUCAGAGGCCUUCGACCCCUGAAUGUUAGUGUCGUCUGAGUACUAUAUAAUAGUUAAAACUUUCAACAACGGAUCUCUUGGUUCUG